RNAcentral lists this transfer RNA (76 nucleotides) under Clostridioides difficile. RNAcentral describes it as "tRNA-Lys". It matches the Rfam family "tRNA". Rfam says of the family: Transfer RNA (tRNA) molecules are approximately 80 nucleotides in length. Their secondary structure includes four short double-helical elements and three loops (D, anti-codon, and T loops). Lineage: Bacteria; Bacillati; Bacillota; Clostridia; Peptostreptococcales; Peptostreptococcaceae. The record is from RNAcentral.
GGUCUAUUAGCUCAGCCGGUAGAGAACCUGACUUUUAAUCAGGGUGUCCCGCGUUCGAGUCGCGGAUAGAGCACCC